GAUGAACGCUGGCGGCGUGCCUAAUACAUGCAAGUCGAGCGAAUGGAUUAAGAGCUUGCUCUUAUGAAGUUAGCGGCGGACGGGUGAGUAACACGUGGGUAACCUGCCCAUAAGACUGGGAUAACUCCGGGAAACCGGGGCUAAUACCGGAUAACAUUUUGAACCGCAUGGUUCGAAAUUGAAAGGCGGCUUCGGCUGUCACUUAUGGAUGGACCCGCGUCGCAUUAGCUAGUUGGUGAGGUAACGGCUCACCAAGGCAACGAUGCGUAGCCGACCUGAGGGGGGGAUCGGCCACACGGGGACUGAGACACGGCCCAAACUCCUCCGGGAGGCAGCAGUAGGGAAUCUUCCGCAAUGGACGAAAGUCUGACGGAGCAACCCCGCGGGAGUGAUGAAGGCUUUCGGGUCGUAAAACUCUUUUUUUAGGGAAAAACAAGUGCUAGUUGAAUAAGCUGGCACCUUGACGGUACCUAACCAGAAAGCCACGGCUAACUACGU
This 498-nucleotide ribosomal RNA is filed under the name uncultured bacterium. Its description in RNAcentral is "partial 16S ribosomal RNA". It matches the Rfam family "Bacterial small subunit ribosomal RNA", at positions 28 to 506 of the family's 1533-position model. The record is from RNAcentral.